UACGUAGGGGGCAAGCGUUGUCCGGAAUCAUUGGGCGUAAAGAGCGUGUAGGCGGCCCGGUAAGUCCGCUGUGAAAGUCCAGGGCUCAACCCUGGGAUGCCGGUGGAUACUGUCGGGCUCGAGUCCGGAAGAGGAGUGCGGAAUUCCUGGUGUAGCGGUGAAAUGCGCAGAUAUCAGGAGGAACACCGGUGGCGAAGGCGGUUCUCUGGGCAUUACCUGACGCUGAGGAGCGAAAGUGUGGGGAGCGAACAGG
RNAcentral lists this ribosomal RNA (253 nucleotides) under uncultured bacterium. RNAcentral's name for it is "partial 16S ribosomal RNA". It matches the Rfam family "Bacterial small subunit ribosomal RNA", at positions 524 to 776 of the family's 1533-position model. The record is from RNAcentral.